RNAcentral lists this ribosomal RNA (1377 nucleotides) under Campylobacter jejuni. RNAcentral's name for it is "bacterial SSU rRNA". It matches the Rfam family "Bacterial small subunit ribosomal RNA". Lineage: Bacteria; Pseudomonadati; Campylobacterota; Epsilonproteobacteria; Campylobacterales; Campylobacteraceae. The record is from RNAcentral.
UCGAACGAUGAAGCUUUUAGCUUGCUAGAAGUGGAUUAGUGGCGCACGGGUGAGUAAGGUAUAGUUAAUCUGCCCUACACAAGAGGACAACAGUUGGAAACGACUGCUAAUACUCUAUACUCCUGCUUAACACAAGUUGAGUAGGGAAAGUUUUUCGGUGUAGGAUGAGACUAUAUAGUAUCAGCUAGUUGGUAAGGUAAUGGCUUACCAAGGCUAUGACGCUUAACUGGUCUGAGAGGAUGAUCAGUCACACUGGAACUGAGACACGGUCCAGACUCCUACGGGAGGCAGCAGUAGGGAAUAUUGCGCAAUGGGGGAAACCCUGACGCAGCAACGCCGCGUGGAGGAUGACACUUUUCGGAGCGUAAACUCCUUUUCUUAGGGAAGAAUUCUGACGGUACCUAAGGAAUAAGCACCGGCUAACUCCGUGCCAGCAGCCGCGGUAAUACGGAGGGUGCAAGCGUUACUCGGAAUCACUGGGCGUAAAGGGCGCGUAGGCGGAUUAUCAAGUCUCUUGUGAAAUCUAAUGGCUUAACCAUUAAACUGCUUGGGAAACUGAUAGUCUAGAGUGAGGGAGAGGCAGAUGGAAUUGGUGGUGUAGGGGUAAAAUCCGUAGAUAUCACCAAGAAUACCCAUUGCGAAGGCGAUCUGCUGGAACUCAACUGACGCUAAGGCGCGAAAGCGUGGGGAGCAAACAGGAUUAGAUACCCUGGUAGUCCACGCCCUAAACGAUGUACACUAGUUGUUGGGGUGCUAGUCAUCUCAGUAAUGCAGCUAACGCAUUAAGUGUACCGCCUGGGGAGUACGGUCGCAAGAUUAAAACUCAAAGGAAUAGACGGGGACCCGCACAAGCGGUGGAGCAUGUGGUUUAAUUCGAAGAUACGCGAAGAACCUUACCUGGGCUUGAUAUCCUAAGAACCUUUUAGAGAUAAGAGGGUGCUAGCUUGCUAGAACUUAGAGACAGGUGCUGCACGGCUGUCGUCAGCUCGUGUCGUGAGAUGUUGGGUUAAGUCCCGCAACGAGCGCAACCCACGUAUUUAGUUGCUAACGGUUCGGCCGAGCACUCUAAAUAGACUGCCUUCGUAAGGAGGAGGAAGGUGUGGACGACGUCAAGUCAUCAUGGCCCUUAUGCCCAGGGCGACACACGUGCUACAAUGGCAUAUACAAUGAGACGCAAUACCGCGAGGUGGAGCAAAUCUAUAAAAUAUGUCCCAGUUCGGAUUGUUCUCUGCAACUCGAGAGCAUGAAGCCGGAAUCGCUAGUAAUCGUAGAUCAGCCAUGCUACGGUGAAUACGUUCCCGGGUCUUGUACUCACCGCCCGUCACACCAUGGGAGUUGAUUUCACUCGAAGCCGGAAUACUAAACUAGUUACCGUCC